Molecule: ribosomal RNA, 492 nt
Filed under: uncultured bacterium
Lineage: Bacteria
Description: partial 16S ribosomal RNA
Rfam family: Bacterial small subunit ribosomal RNA
Source: RNAcentral
AGUGAACGCUGGCGGUAGGCCUAACACAUGCAAGUCGAACGGCAGCACAGUAAGAGCUUGCUCUUACGGGUGGCGAGUGGCGGACGGGUGAGGAAUACAUCGGAAUCUACUUUUUCGUGGGGGAUAACGUAGGGAAACUUACGCUAAUACCGCAUACGACCUACGGGUGAAAGCAGGGGAUCUUCGGACCUUGCGCGAUUGAAUGGGCCGAUGUCGGAUUAGCUAGUUGGCGGGGUAAAGGCCCACCAAGGCGACGAUCCGUAGCUGGUCUGAGAGGAUGAUCAGCCACACUGGAACUGGGACACGGUCCAGACUCCUACGGGAGGCAGCAGUGGGGAAUAUUGGACAAUGGGCGCGAGCCUGAUCCAGCCGUACCGCGUGGGUGAAGAAGGCCUUCGGGUUGUAAAGCCCUUUUGUUGGGAAAGAAAAGCAGCAGGUUAAUACCCCGCUGUUCUGACGGUACCCAAAGAAUAAGCACCGGCUAACUUCGUG